AGAUGUAAAAAAGGACUUCUAAUCCUGCUAAUCACAUUGAACAUCUU
RNAcentral lists this transfer RNA (47 nucleotides) under Dermatophagoides pteronyssinus (European house dust mite). RNAcentral's name for it is "tRNA-Ser". The record is from RNAcentral. Lineage: Eukaryota; Metazoa; Arthropoda; Arachnida; Sarcoptiformes; Pyroglyphidae.